CAGUCGCCGCGGGAAUACGUAGGUGGCAAGCGUUGUCCGGAAUUAUUGGGCGUAAGGCGCGCGCAGGCGGAUCAGUCAGUCUGUCUUAAGAGUUCGGGGCUUAACCCCGUGAGGGGAUGGAAACUGCUGAUCUAGAGUAUCGGAGAGGAAAGUGGAAUUCCUAGUGUAGCGGUGAAAUGCGUAGAUAUUAGGAAGAACACCAGUGGCGAAGGCGACUUUCUGGACGAAAACUGACGCUGAGGCGCGAAAGCCAGGGGAGCGAACGGGAUUAGAUACCCCAGUAGUCCCUGUCUCUUAUACA
Molecule: ribosomal RNA, 301 nt
Filed under: uncultured bacterium
Lineage: Bacteria
Description: partial 16S ribosomal RNA
Rfam family: Bacterial small subunit ribosomal RNA
Source: RNAcentral